GGCAGGAUGUAGCCACCAGAGUUUCUAAUGUCACAGAAAGAAUGCCAGGCCCAUAGAAGAAGAAGCUGCUCUUUCCUGAGACCCUUUGAGGAACUGCUGUCAGAUCAAGGCUUCACUCAUUACACAACUCUCUCAGCUUGGUGAAUGUAUUGUAACACUACUAAGAAGCCCUCUCAAGGGAUUCACCCAUCAGCCAUGGUCAGAGCUUGGUGAAUAUAUUGUAACACUACUAAGAAGCCCUCUCAAGGAAUUCACCCAUCAGCCAUGGUCAGAGCAACAUAACAGCUUUGUUCUGCCUUUGAAGAUGAUACACAGUUUCUAUGGAAACAAGCGCUACAGACCUGGUAACAUGAAGGAUGUUCAAUGUGUGUUUCCUGUUUGGGUUUCAGCUACACCUGCACUGUGCAACUGUUGGGGUGCUAACUGACUUCAGCUGGAUGAGUUCUUUGCCACCCUUACUCAUCUACUGGACUCUCUUUUAUCAAGAAGUUCAAAAAGCUCAAGAGAGGAAAAUAUUGUUACAGGAAGAUUCUCUAGGGAAAGAUGUCAUAGACCAGUGAUUCUCAAACUUCUUAAUGCUGUGACCCUUUAACACAGUUCCUCAUGUUGUGGUAACCCCCAACCAUCACAUUAUUUCAUUGCUACUUCAUAACUGUAGUUUUUGCCACUGUUAUAGAUUGUAAUGUAAAUAUCUGAUACUUAGAAUAUCUGAUAAUACAACCUCUGUGGGGAUCAGGACCCAUAGGUUGAGAGCUAUUUCUCUAGAGGGAUUGAAAUGCUCAUCCUUGUUACCCCAAUGUCUUAGUUAGGGUCUUACUGCUAUGAAGAGACACUACAACCAAGGCAACUUGACCAAGACACCGUGAUAAGGACAACAUUUAAUUGGGGCUGGCUUAUAGGUUCAGAGGUUCAGUCCAUUAUUA
Long non-coding RNA from Mus musculus (house mouse), 923 nucleotides. RefSeq annotates it as predicted gene, 39866. The record is from RefSeq and is a predicted model, not a curated record. The transcript has 5 exons. NCBI's taxonomy places the organism in Eukaryota, Metazoa, Chordata, Mammalia, Rodentia, Muridae.